UACGUAGGGGGCAAGCGUUAUCCGGAUUUACUGGGUGUAAAGGGAGCGUAGACGGCAGCGCAAGUCUGGAGUGAAAUGCCGGGGCCCAACCCCGGAACUGCUUUGGAAACUGUGCAGCUCGAGUGCAGGAGAGGUAAGCGGAAUUCCUAGUGUAGCGGUGAAAUGCGUAGAUAUUAGGAGGAACACCAGUGGCGAAGGCGGCUUACUGGACUGUAACUGACGUUGAGGCUCGAAAGCGUGGGGAGCAAACAGG
RNAcentral lists this ribosomal RNA (253 nucleotides) under uncultured bacterium. RNAcentral describes it as "partial 16S ribosomal RNA". It matches the Rfam family "Bacterial small subunit ribosomal RNA", at positions 524 to 776 of the family's 1533-position model. RNAcentral also lists the same sequence under 1 other name. The record is from RNAcentral.